Molecule: ribosomal RNA, 530 nt
Filed under: Micromonospora rhizosphaerae
Lineage: Bacteria; Bacillati; Actinomycetota; Actinomycetes; Micromonosporales; Micromonosporaceae
Description: bacterial SSU rRNA
Rfam family: Bacterial small subunit ribosomal RNA
Source: RNAcentral
GAACGCUGGCGGCGUGCUUAACACAUGCAAGUCGAGCGGAAAGGCCCUUCGGGGUACUCGAGCGGCGAACGGGUGAGUAACACGUGAGCAACCUGCCCUAGGCUUUGGGAUAACCCCGGGAAACCGGGGCUAAUACCGAAUAGAACCUCUGGCCGCAUGGCCGGGGGUGGAAAGUUUUUCGGCCUGGGAUGGGCUCGCGGCCUAUCAGCUUGUUGGUGGGGUGAUGGCCUACCAAGGCGACGACGGGUAGCCGGCCUGAGAGGGCGACCGGCCACACUGGGACUGAGACACGGCCCAGACUCCUACGGGAGGCAGCAGUGGGGAAUAUUGCACAAUGGGCGGAAGCCUGAUGCAGCGACGCCGCGUGAGGGAUGACGGCCUUCGGGUUGUAAACCUCUUUCAGCAGGGACGAAGCGUAAGUGACGGUACCUGCAGAAGAAGCGCCGGCCAACUACGUGCCAGCAGCCGCGGUAAGACGUAGGGCGCGAGCGUUGUCCGGAUUUAUUGGGCGUAAAGAGCUCGUAGGCGGC